RNAcentral lists this ribosomal RNA (248 nucleotides) under uncultured bacterium. Its description in RNAcentral is "partial 16S ribosomal RNA". It matches the Rfam family "Bacterial small subunit ribosomal RNA", at positions 796 to 1041 of the family's 1533-position model. The record is from RNAcentral.
CAUGCCGUAAACGAUGAUUACUAGGUGUGGGUGGUCUGACCCCAUCCGUGCCGGAGUUAACACAAUAAGUAAUCCACCUGGGGAGUACGACCGCAAGGUUGAAACUCAAAGGAAUUGACGGGGGCCCGCACAAGCAGUGGAGUAUGUGGUUUAAUUCGAAGCAACGCGAAGAACCUUACCAGGUCUUGACAUCCCAGUGACCACUCUAGAGAUAGAGUUUUCCCUUCGGGGACAUUGGUGACAGGUGG